CCCUUAGAUGUUCUGGGCCGCACGCGCGCUACACUGAUGCAUUCAACGAGUCUAAAACCUGCUCUGAUAGGGGUGGGUAAUCUUUUGAAUGUGCAUCGUGAUUGGGAUAGAUGAUUGCAAUUUUUCAUCUUCAACGAGGAAUGCCUAGUAAACGCAAGUCAUCAGCUUGCAUUGAUUACGUCCCUGCCCUUUGUACACACCGCCCGUCGCUCCUACCGAUUGAAUGAUCCGAUGAAUAUCAUGGAUUGAGGAUGUAAGCAGGUUCGCCUGUCUUCAUCUUCGUGAAGUGAAGUAAAUCUUAUCAUUUAGAGGAAGGAGAAGUCGUAACA
Molecule: ribosomal RNA, 329 nt
Filed under: uncultured eukaryote
Lineage: Eukaryota
Description: partial 18S ribosomal RNA
Rfam family: Eukaryotic small subunit ribosomal RNA
Source: RNAcentral